Molecule: ribosomal RNA, 334 nt
Filed under: uncultured bacterium
Lineage: Bacteria
Description: bacterial SSU rRNA
Rfam family: Bacterial small subunit ribosomal RNA
Source: RNAcentral
GACGAACGCUGGCGGCGUGCCUAAUACAUGCAAGUCGAGCGAGCUUGCCUAGAUGAUUUUAGUGCUUGCACUAAAUGAAACUAGAUACAAGCGAGCGGCGGACGGGUGAGUAACACGUGGGUAACCUGCCCAAGAGACUGGGAUAACACCUGGAAACAGAUGCUAAUACCGGAUAAGCCACAGCUCGGCAUCGAGCAGAGGGAAAAGGAGUGAUCCGCUUUGAGAUGGCCUCGCGUCCGAUUAGCUGGUUGGUGAGGUAACGGCCCACCAAGGCGACGAUCGGUAGCCGGACUGAGAGGUUGAACGGCCACAUUGGGACUGAGACACGGCCCAG